RNAcentral lists this ribosomal RNA (253 nucleotides) under uncultured bacterium. RNAcentral's name for it is "partial 16S ribosomal RNA". It matches the Rfam family "Bacterial small subunit ribosomal RNA", at positions 524 to 776 of the family's 1533-position model. The record is from RNAcentral.
UACAGAGGUCUCAAGCGUUGUUCGGAUUCAUUGGGCGUAAAGGGUGCGUAGGCGGCGCCAUAAGUCAGGCGUGAAAUCUCGGGGCUCAACCUCGAAACUGCACUUGAUACUGUGGUGCUUGAGUACUGGAGAGGAGAUUGGAAUUUACGGUGUAGUGGUGAAAUGCGUAGAUAUCGGGAGGAACACCAGUGGCGAAGGCGACUACCUGGCCUGUUCUUGACGCUGAGGCGCGAAAGCUAGGGGAGCAAACGGG